GGAGGAUUACUCAAGAGGCUGAAGAGGACGGUUUGCUAAAUCGUUAGGGCGGGUUACCGUCGCCUCCGCCA
RNAcentral lists this transfer RNA (71 nucleotides) under Veillonella sp. Its description in RNAcentral is "tRNA-Ser". Lineage: Bacteria; Bacillati; Bacillota; Negativicutes; Veillonellales; Veillonellaceae. The record is from RNAcentral.